Molecule: transfer RNA, 76 nt
Filed under: Chloroflexota bacterium
Lineage: Bacteria; Bacillati; Chloroflexota
Also listed under: 1 other name
Description: Chloroflexi bacterium tRNA-Phe
Rfam family: tRNA
About the family: Transfer RNA (tRNA) molecules are approximately 80 nucleotides in length.
Source: RNAcentral
GCCGAGGUAGCUCAGUUGGUAGAGCACGCGACUGAAAAUCGCGGAGUCGCCGGUUCAAGUCCGGCCCUCGGCACCA